RNAcentral lists this ribosomal RNA (253 nucleotides) under uncultured prokaryote. RNAcentral's name for it is "partial 16S ribosomal RNA". It matches the Rfam family "Bacterial small subunit ribosomal RNA", at positions 524 to 776 of the family's 1533-position model. The record is from RNAcentral.
UACGUAGGCAGCAAGCGUUGUUCGGAAUUACUGGGCGUAAAGAGUGUGUAGGCGGUGUUCUAAGUUUGUCGUGAAAUCUCCCGGCUUAACUGGGAGGGUGCGGCGAAAACUGGAAUGCUAGAGGAUGGGAGAGGUAAGCGGAAUUCCUGGUGUAGCGGUGAAAUGCGUAGAUAUCAAGCGGAACACCAGUGGCGAAGGCGAGUCCCUGGACAACUCCUGACACUGAGGCACGAAAGCUAGGGGAGCAAACAGG